Long non-coding RNA from Microplitis mediator, 481 nucleotides. RefSeq lists it as uncharacterized. The transcript is spliced from 3 exons. Lineage: Eukaryota; Metazoa; Arthropoda; Insecta; Hymenoptera; Braconidae. The record is from RefSeq and is a predicted model, not a curated record.
AUUUCUUUUCUUAGAAUUACUUGUACAUAAUUGUUCAUCUUAUCUAAAAAUAAUUAUUUAUUGUUAUUAAAGUUAAUUAUAAUUAUAAAAUUAAUAAAAGAUUGAUGUUAAGUAAUUAAUAAAAUGAGAAGAGAAGUAUUGAAAUUAUAUAAAGAUUUACUCAGAUACGGGGAUAAUUUAAAAUUAACUGAUAAAAAAUACUACAAGUUAAGAGUUAAGAAAGACUUCUAUGAUAAUAUUGAGUUGAAAAAUUCUCAAGAUAUUCAAUUUUAUUUAGAGAAAGGACGUGAGUUGUUACUGAAAAAAAGGAUUGUCUAGAUUUCUUUUAAUUAAAUUUUUAAAAAAUAUUUUUCUUACGUACCACAACUCAGUGAAAAAGAUUUAGAAGAGCAAUGGGUCAAAGGAAGUGGCCCUGGAGGCUCAGCAGUAAACAAAAUGAGCAAUUGUGUAGUUCUGAAGCACAUACCUUCAGGUAUUGUUG